Molecule: ribosomal RNA, 89 nt
Filed under: uncultured bacterium
Lineage: Bacteria
Description: partial 16S ribosomal RNA
Source: RNAcentral
UUGUAAACUCCUUUUAGUAGGGGAGUGAAUGCCUGCGUGAAAACGCAGAAUGACAGUACUCUCUGAAUAAGCCACGGCUAACUACGUGC